CGCAUCUGUGCAUGCAGCAUAUCAAUAAGCGGAGGAAAAGAAACUAACAAGGAUUCCCUUAGUAACGGCGAGUGAAGCGGGAAGAGCUCAAAUUUGAAAUCUUCAAGGUCUUACCUUGACGAAUUGUAGUUUAAAGAAGUGUUUUCUGCUGAAGUUUUGGUAAAAGUUCUUUGGAAUAGGACAUCAUAGAGGGUGAGAAUCCCGUAUUUGACCAUUAUUUUCAGCUUUGUGAUACACUUUCAAAGAGUCGGAUUGUUUGGGAAUGCAGUCCAAAAUGGGUGGUAAAUUUCAUCUAAAGCUAAAUAUUGGCGAGAGACCGAUAGCGAACAAGUACCGUGAGGAAAGAUGAAAAGAACUUUGAAAAGAGAGUUAAACAGUACGUGAAAUUGUCAAAAGGGAAGCGUUUGACACCAGUGUUGUUUUCUCGAAAAUCAAUUAAAAAUGGCUCGAUUUGUAUUGCUGAGACCUUAAAAGCUCACUGUACAUUUUUCGUGUCUUUUUUAAUGCACUUUUCGUUUAACAAGUCAACAUCAGUUUCUUUUGUUGUAAAAGGGUCAUUGGAAGGUGGCUUUCUUUUCGGAGAAAGUGUUUAUAGCCUUUGGCCUCUGCAAUCGAAGAGACUGAGGUCUGCAGCGUAGACUCUUCGGGGUUAGAUACAUUUGUGCUAAGUUAUAGCUUUUUAUAGACAACUUGUUGACUAUAAUUAGUCUUGUAGCUUACUCGCUUAUGCUAUUUUACCUACGCUUAGGAUGUUGUACGCAUGAGAUAUACGC
RNAcentral lists this ribosomal RNA (773 nucleotides) under uncultured Neocallimastigales. Its description in RNAcentral is "partial large subunit ribosomal RNA". It matches the Rfam family "Eukaryotic large subunit ribosomal RNA", at positions 26 to 646 of the family's 3401-position model. Lineage: Eukaryota; Fungi; Neocallimastigomycota; Neocallimastigomycetes; Neocallimastigales. The record is from RNAcentral.